AGUGAACGCUGGCGGCAGGCCUAAUACAUGCAAGUCGAACGACAAGACGGUAAGCUUGUGCCUCUACCGGUGGCGGCGGGCGGGCGGGUGACACAUACAUCGGAUACUACUUUGUCGGGGAGGACAUCGUAGGGAAAGUGCUGCUACCAGAUCAUAUGAUCUACGGGAGAAUGCAAGGGAUCUUCGCAGCUUUGGCGUUAGUAAGAGCCGAAUCCGCAUUAGCUUGUCGGGGGGGUAAAGGCACACCAAGGCGACGAUACGUAGCCGAUCUGAGAGGGUGAUCGGCCACACUGGAACUGAGACGCGGUCCAGACUCCUACGGGAGGCAGCAGUAGGGAAUUUUCCGCAAUGGGCGCAAGCCUGACCCAGCCAUGCCGCGUGAGUGAUGAAGGCCUUCGGAUUGUAAAACUCUUUUGUUAGGAAAGAAAAACUGCGUAUGUAUACCUCCCCGUUCUGACGGUACCCAAACAGAAAGCACCGGCUAACUUCGUG
This 492-nucleotide ribosomal RNA is filed under the name uncultured bacterium. RNAcentral describes it as "partial 16S ribosomal RNA". It matches the Rfam family "Bacterial small subunit ribosomal RNA", at positions 29 to 507 of the family's 1533-position model. The record is from RNAcentral.